Molecule: ribosomal RNA, 497 nt
Filed under: uncultured bacterium
Lineage: Bacteria
Description: partial 16S ribosomal RNA
Rfam family: Bacterial small subunit ribosomal RNA
Source: RNAcentral
GACGAACGCUGGCGGCGUGCCUAAUACAUGCAAGUAGAACGCUGAAGAGAGGAGCUUGCUCUUCUUGGAUGAGUUGCGAACGGGUGAGUAACGCGUAGGUAACCUGCCUUGUAGCGGGGGAUAACUAUUGGAAACGAUAGCUAAUACCGCAUAACAAUGGAUGACACAUGUCAUUUAUUUGAAAGGGGCAAUUGCUCCACUACAAGAUGGACCUGCGUUGUAUUAGCUAGUAGGUGAGGAAAUGGCUCACCUAGGCGACGAUACAUAGCCGACCUGAGAGGGUGAUCGGCCACACUGGGACUGAGACACGGCCCAGACUCCUACGGGAGGCAGCAGUAGGGAAUCUUCGGCAAUGGGGGCAACCCUGACCGAGCAACGCCGCGUGAGUGAAGAAGGUUUUCGGAUCGUAAAGCUCUGUUGUAAGUCAAGAACGGGUGUGAGAGUGGAAAGUUCACACUGUGACGGUAGCUUACCAGAAAGGGACGGCUAACUACGUG